RNAcentral lists this long non-coding RNA (1832 nucleotides) under Anas platyrhynchos platyrhynchos (common mallard). RNAcentral's name for it is "lncRNA (ENSAPLG00000023743.1)". Lineage: Eukaryota; Metazoa; Chordata; Aves; Anseriformes; Anatidae. The record is from RNAcentral.
GGGAGUUCAUUCAGCACUAAUCCUACAUAAAAAAAAAAAAAAAAUUAACCAGGCUGUUCUCACGUAAGCAGAAAUGGUGCAAGAGCUGCAUUCCAGAAAGUGACUCAAAGUGGAAUUGCCAAAUGAUAGCGCACGGUGAACACAUCGCAGCGAGACACCGCAGACGGAGGAACCACAGGGCACGAGGGGCGGGCAGGCUGCAGCACCGCGUCCCUGCUCUCAGCGGUGCGUGUGCCAGGGAGAGCACUCACACAGUAUCUUUGUUAGAUAGGUCGGUAAUUAAGCUCGUGCUUUAUCAUCAGCGGUCCAAAUGACCACUUGUGAUAUGUAAAAUCAAAUUCCUUCACUGCUGGGGGCUGGGACAGCUGCCUGUGCUCAUUUGAUAUGGAGGCAUAACUUUUUUUCUUUUUUUAAUACAGUGAAAGCAAUUGCCACAGCUAUGAUCUUCUGCAAGAGGCAACUCUGGGAAGAGCUGCACUUGGAAAAGGAGAUCAGGCUUGUAGCACACCUCUUCCCUCCAAUUUUCUUUAAAUACUUUUGAAGGUAACCACAGGUGACACACUCCUUCCAACCUGUCAGCUGAGGCAUGUGAAAUAGCCACGUACACUGCUCCUGUGCAGGUGAAGCAAUGCUUACAAACCUAUUUAUUGCAAGUGAUAAGGAGGCAGAGUUAAGUUCAAACCACAGAAGGGAGGUUUUAACUAUAAAGGCAUCACAGCACACCAACAAAAAGCUGAGGGAGAUGGUGAUGGACUUCACACAAAGCCUGUCCUUCAGUGGAGGAAGGAUCAGCACUUGGAGAAGGGGUCUCGGACCGAAGGACUGGCACUGAGUUGACAACCACACGCUGCAGGAAGAGCAGAGGAUGUCCCUGCUGCAGGUUUUGGCAGCCAGGUGCGACUCACGGCCUGCGUUUUUGCAGGUAGCUCUCUGCUGAGCAUUCUCAAAACCCGUCUGUUGCAGCAGGAGAGCUGUGGCAGCAAAAAGUGUAAACACAUCACUCCUCCUAUAUAGAAACUCAGCAAGUAGUAAAACAUUAACGCAACCAAAGCUGACCUUUUGGAUUUCUAUUUGCUUAGCGAGCUGUUUCUAAUUGAAGGCCUUUUCCCCGGGCUCCAACAGCUCCCCUUACAGCCCCCAGUACUGGUUACCCAAACCAGUGCACGGAGGUGAACCCACAGAAAGUGAUUUCCAAGGGCAAGCACCCUGGGAGGACACAGCUUCAAACAGCCAAAGCGCAGCACACGGCUCGCACGCCAGCCACAGCACAAGUGUUGGGUCAGGUGCGGGCACAGGGGGAGGCCCCAGGGCAGCUGCAGAAGAAAGCAGCUCAUUGACUUCGGUGGGCAGCUGGCGAGCUCCACAGCCCCCUGCACGCGCUGCUGCCGGGUGGGCAGGGGCACGGGCAGGGUUGGAGCCGAGCUGCAAGGCUGUUUUCUCCCCGUCCCACUCAGGCAUGCACAUUAGGGGAGAAGAGCAGAGAGGGAUGGCCUGAAAAUUGGUUUGAUUCAGAGCGUGUUCACAGAAGGACUUACUCACCCUGCGCACUCAGAUUUUAUCCAGCCUAGCGGUGCAUUUUGCUUUCUGCAGCCGCUGCUCCCGGCUGGACUUCGCCCCCCCCCCAUUUCUGAUUGUUUGAAACACAAUGCAAACCAACAAAAACACAUCCAUCAAGCACAUUAGGGUUAGAAAGGAAAAUGUUAUUACCUGGAAUAGUCCCCUUUGGCUUCCUACAAUUGAAAAACAGUGACAGAAUUAAAACAAGAUCUCUUCAAAACUCCUCGGUUUUCCCAGCAUUGUUCGCUGCCCCACUCCCACAGCUUUUUGGCUGG